RNAcentral lists this long non-coding RNA (287 nucleotides) under Lepisosteus oculatus (spotted gar). Its description in RNAcentral is "lncRNA (ENSLOCG00000022208.1)". The record is from RNAcentral. Lineage: Eukaryota; Metazoa; Chordata; Actinopteri; Semionotiformes; Lepisosteidae.
UUAAUUGGUCUGGCUUUUUCUAGGCCUUCAGGACAGCUCUGAGUCCUCUGUUCCAUCAAUGGACUUCCCAGUUAUCUAAGCGUUUCUGGAGGAGAGCUUAAGCCAGGACAAGGAGCUGAAUGUAAUCCAGUUCAUUAUGGACAUGGCCAGCAUCCUGGCUUCCUAGUGCAACAGCAACAGAAGAGCCUCUGCUCAUGCUUGCCCAUCAGAAGAGCCAGUCAAGGUGAAGAAACCUUCCUGUAUCUCUUUAAAGAAGGUCCAAUAUGUUGAACAGUUUAGAAAGUACA